UUUGUUAGCAAGUCUUGAAUAGUAAGGAGGUGAGUGGCUUUUUGACUCUUUUGCCCUCACUUAGUAAUUCUAGAAAUAGGAAGCUUGGAUGCUCAUUUAUUGGUUGUUUAAAUUCCACCAACAUCUUAGAACAUUAUUAUUGAGAAAGAAGUGAGAGCUAUCUUAUUAAUCCAAGAAAAAGAAGAAGAAAAGCUAGAACAUUAAAGUUAAGGAAUCUUUAACCAUUAGUCUUCAUCUCUUCAUUUAAAGUUAUGAUAGAGAAGUGGAUAUUGGUGGAGCAUGCAUCAUAAGGAG
RNAcentral lists this long non-coding RNA (294 nucleotides) under Panax ginseng (ginseng). Its description in RNAcentral is "long non-coding RNA (PGIN_LNC001196)". Lineage: Eukaryota; Viridiplantae; Streptophyta; Magnoliopsida; Apiales; Araliaceae. The record is from RNAcentral.